Molecule: ribosomal RNA, 1397 nt
Filed under: Santalum album (white sandalwood)
Lineage: Eukaryota; Viridiplantae; Streptophyta; Magnoliopsida; Santalales; Santalaceae
Description: bacterial SSU rRNA
Rfam family: Bacterial small subunit ribosomal RNA
Source: RNAcentral
AGAGUUCGAUCCUGGCUCAGAUGACCGCCAGGCAUGCUUAACACAUGCAAGUCGACGGGAAGUGGUGUUUCCAGUGGCGGACGGGUGAGUAACGCGCAAGAACUUGCCUUUGGGAGGGGAACAACAGCUGGAACACGUUACUGCCCUGUAGGCUGAGGAGCAAAAGGAGGAAUCCCCGGAGGAGGGCUCGCGUCUGAUUAUUAGUUGGUGAGGCAAUGGCUUACCAAGGCGAUUAGUAGUUAUCCGAGAGGGUGACCAGCCACACUGGGACCGAGACACGGCCCAGACUCCUACGGGAGGCAGCAGUGGGGAAUUCUUCCGCAAUGGGCGAAAGCCUGAGCAAUGCCGCGUGGAGGUAGAAGGCCUAUGGGUCGAACUUCUUUCCCGGAGAAGAAGCAAUGACGGUAUCUGGGGAAUAAGCAUCGGCUAACUCCCAGCCAGCAGCCGCGGUAAUACAGAGGAUGCAAGCGUUAUCCGAAUGAUUGGGCGUAAAGGUCUGUGGUGGUUUUUUAAGUCCGGGUUGUCAAAUCCCAGGGCCUGACCCCUGACAGGCGCGGUGAAACUACCAAGUUGGAGUACGGUAGGCAGAGGGAAUUUCCGUGGAGCGGUGAAAUGCUUAGAGAUCGGAAAGAACACCAACGUAUGAAAGCACUCUGGGCCGACACUGACACUGAGAGACGAAAGCUAGGGGAGCUGAAUGGGAUUAGAUAAUCCCCAGGUCCCAUACGUAAUGAAGCAUACCAAAGGCGCUGUGCGUAUCGACCUGCGCAGUGCUGUAGCUAACGCGUUAAGUACCCCGCCCAGUACGUUCGCAAGAAUGAAACUCAGCGAAUUGAUUGGGCCCGCACAAGCGGUGGAGCAUGUGGUUUUAAUUCGAUGCAAGCGAACCUUACCGGGCUUUUGAUACGCGAAUCCUCUUGAGGGCGCUCUUCGAACGCGGACAGGUGGUGGCUGCCGUCGUCAGCCCAGCCGUGUUGCGUUGGGUUAAGUCCCGCAACGAGCGCAACCGUGUUUAGCUGCUGUUGAGUUUGGGACCGGACCAGACUGCCGGUGAUAAGCCAAGGUGAGAUUGACGUCAGUCAUCAUGCCCUUAUGCCCUGGGCGACACACGCGCUACAAUGGCUGGACAAAGGGUCGCGAUCCCGAGGUGAGCUAACCCAAAACCUGUCCAGUUCGAUUGCAGGCUGCAAUCCUGCGGCUGAAGCCGGAAUCUGUUAGUAAUCGCCGGUCAGCCAGCAUGGCGGUGACCCGUUCCGGCCUUGUACACACCGCCCGUCACACUAUGGAGCUGGCCAUGCCCGAAGUCGUUACCUUAACCGCAAGGAGGGGGGAUGCUGAAGGUAGCCAGGUGGACUGGAGUGAAGUCGUACCGGUAGCCGUACUGGAAGGUGCGUGGU